This 473-nucleotide ribosomal RNA is filed under the name uncultured bacterium. Its description in RNAcentral is "bacterial SSU rRNA". It matches the Rfam family "Bacterial small subunit ribosomal RNA", at positions 27 to 518 of the family's 1533-position model. The record is from RNAcentral.
GGACAAACGCUGGCGGUGUGCCUCAUACAUGCAAGUCGAACGAGAAACUGGAGCUUGCUUCAGUGGAAAGUGGCGGACGGGUGAGUAAUAUGUAGGAAAUCUGCCCUAGAGAGGGGGACAACAGAGGGAAACUUCUGCUAAUACCCAUAUGAGCUUGGUUGAAAUACCAAUCUUGAAAACUCCGGUGCUCUAGGAUGAGCCUGCAUCUGAUUAGCUAGUUGGUGGUGUAAUGGACCACAAAGGCGACGAUCAGUAGCUGGUUUGAGAGGAUGAUCAGCCACAAUGGGACUGAGACACGGCCCAUACUCCUACGGGAGGCAGCAGUAGGGAAUUUUGCGCAAUGGGGGAAACCCUGAACCGCAGCAACACCGCGUGAAUGUUAAGCCCUUCGGGGUAUAAAGUUCUGUCAAUGGGGAAGAAUAAAUGACUGUACCCAUAAAGGAAGCACCGGCUAACUCCGUGCCAGCAGCAGC